This 3816-nucleotide long non-coding RNA is filed under the name Homo sapiens (human). RNAcentral describes it as "HSALNT0299901". Lineage: Eukaryota; Metazoa; Chordata; Mammalia; Primates; Hominidae. The record is from RNAcentral.
ACCCUCCAGCAUUUCUGCUUCCAGGUAAAACCUGCACGUGUGAGGAAUGUGUGGCAUUGUAAUGUCAGUCCUCCCUUCAGUUGCUGUCACUUGAAAGAAAAUGUGUUUGUUUAACAAACAUAAAUUGAGUGCCUACUGUGUACCCACACUUCUAGAUCCUGCUGUUGCUGCAGCCACAGCUGUGAUUAGGGCAAGUCUCAGCUCCCCUGGAGUGAGUGCUCCUGUGGGCCAUCAGGUGACAUGGGGACAGAUGCCACAGGGGAGUGUAGAGGAGGGGCCAGGGAGCGCUGUGGGAGCGAGGCUCUCUGAGAAGGCGAUGCGUGAGCCAAGGCCCAGGGUUGGGGUGGGGUGGCACCUGGGUGAGUGGAUCAGGUAGGGAGGCAGCUGGGCUGGCAUGGGAAUGAGGCAGGAGGCCCAGCCAUGGGGAACUGGAGGUCCUGCCUUUUUGAGACGGAAGCCACUGAACAGGUGAGGACUGAAGUUUAGAGUUUGGAUGGUUUACUGCCUUUGAUUGGCACACAGCCGCCAGUGUGUGUGCGUUGUGUGUGUGCAAUGGUGAGGCCACUGUGCACCCGGUGGCUGGCUUCUCAUGAGUUUAACACACACUCACCACACCAGUCAGCCCUCACGUCUUUACCCUGGAUCCUUUUCGAGAAAGGAUCUGGAAAGUAAACAUUUUAGACUUUGAGGGCCACAGUCACUGUCCAUGUUCCUCUCUGUGGUUGUCCUGCCAGACACACACCAUGAGUUUACAAAGACAGGCGGUGGAUGGAUGUGGCCUGGGGCCUGUUUGCCAAUGCCAGCCCCAGAAAAUAAAACUUAUGUUUGCAUAAAUACCUAUACACAGAUAUUUCUACCCAGGCAUAAUCACCAAGUGCUGGAAGCAACACAAGCGUCCUUCAAUGGUGAACGGAUGGCAGGGCCCCCAGAAGACCACAGGAAAGUCGUGUAGAGAAGACGUUCAGAUGGGGCGUCAGAUGUGGGGGAGAACGAGCUGGAGAUGGACACGGACAUGGAGGUGUGGAUGGCCCUGGGGAGGCCCCCUGGCAGCUGGUGGAUGGCAGGAGCGGCGUGGACAGCAGGAGCAGCAUGAACUGCAGGAGCGGCACGGGAUAAGAGAGCCAAGCAAAGUUCUUCCUCCUGCUGAGAGAACAGAUCCUGUGUGACCUUCACACCUUCAUUAUUGGAAACUGCUAAUGUGUGUUCCUUUUGAAAUGUGCAAGAUGUUGGACGUGAUAAACUGAGGGAAGAUUAAGGUGAGUAACUCCUUUGUUUAAACUUUGGCUUCAUGGGUAGUCUUAUUAAAGGAAGGGAUUUAAAGUGCUUAAAAAUUCAAUAGGACAAAGGGCAUGUUGUGGUUCAAGAAGUGACGUAUUGCCAUACAGGAUGCGAUCUGUUCCAACGACCAUAAAGCAGUCAUCUGAGCUCGCUGUGGUUGGAGCCGGCCAAUUAUAACACCUCCUGAAGACACAGGGACGCAAUCUGCACGCUCCUGCAGGUCCCUGGGACGGCUUGGCUGGCAGCUCGGACAGCUGGGCUCCUCCAGGCACUGCUGAGCCCCCUUACGUCCAGUCAAGGUCAUCCUAGCCAUUCCCCCGUGGCCGUCUCCCCAGCCAGUGGCUAAAGUCACCGGCAGACCAGCCAUUAAAGAUGGGACGCCACUUGCUUCCCUUCAACAUCCUCUUGGCUUUUUGCAAAAUCCUUAUCUUAGACAUUUCUCCUUAUGCUUAAGACACGUCGUUUGGUGGGGUCCUCUCUCAGGGCGAAUCCAUUCAGGGCUCACAGCAAGAGGGGAGCACACAAAGGAGAAGGGCUGGAUUAGGGGACAGGAGCAUUGGGAGGGUGUCAAAUUCUCCACCUCUGCAUUGUGUGGCUUCUCUGAGUGUUUCCUCGUGGGCACUGGGAGGAUGAUGUUUGCUCUGGGAACCAACCAGUGUCAACAUGAGAACCAAGCGCUGCUUGUUGGGCGAGGCCCGAAGAACUGGAAUCUGGAGUCAGACAGGCCUGGGCUUGUGUUUCACAUCUGCCACUCACUGUGGGGCCAAGGUGGCAAGGACUUACCUUCCUUGUGCUUCGGUGCCUGCAUUUGUUAAGUGGGGAUAACAGCAUCUAAUUCAUUUUGAUGAGGAUGUUCUCAGGCUUAAUGCUAUAAUUUAUGGAACUAGUGCUUGGCCCAGUGCAGAACCUCAAGGAAUGGCAGCCGCUUUUAAAGUUAUUACCACGACGAUAGUGUUAUUAUCACUCUUACUCCUACUUCCAUUACCAUUACUACAGCGCACGGCGCAGAAGCCCUUCAGAAAGCGCGGAGCCCCUUGCAGGUGUGAGGGCUGAUUCCGGGUAACGUCCAGGCUCACCUGAUGACGGCUGUAAUUACCCAGAACUUGCUGCUGGUCUCUCCUGCCGGUAACUCUUGCAGAACAGCCACCAGGAGCCUUUUAUAUCGUGUGUCAUAACACAACUCUGGGUUCUUAGGAAGUUGGGUGUGUAACGGCCCCACCCGUCACAGAAGCAGAGUGCAUUUCCAGAUUAAAAACGACGAGGACUCUUGCUCCUGUGCGGGCGAGCUGUGACCUGCACUUUGUAGCUGCACACACUGAUGUAUCUUUGUGCACAUAAUGACUGCUUCAGGCCAGUGUGUGCAUGUGCAGAUGGCACUGCCCUUCCCUUCAAGCUGUGCUGGUGGAAUACCUCUCACAUCCGCCCAGUGAGGCCCAAGCCUCCUCCUGUCUCAGCCUUCGUCACUCUCAUCUCAGCCUUUUUCUUCCUAGUCACCUAGAGGUGUUGAUGAGUUAGUGCAGUCACUCAUUCACAUCAACAAACAUGUAUCUUGGGCCUGCGGUAUAUAGCAGCACUGGUGAUACCAGCCAGGAAAUCAGCAUGUAGACUGCCCGCUCCGUGGGGCACAUGUGUCGGGGCCUCAGAGAGCAGGAGGAGCUUGUGUGCUUUCUGCUUGGCUGGGGAAACCAAAUACAGGGACAAAGGGACAAGUCACCCAGGCAUCACAAUGUGCUCACACACCUGCAGAUGCACCGCAAGGGUGGACACCGUGUGGGGCCUGGCCUGUGCCCAGCGCUGGGUUAGAAUGUGGCAUUGUCCCUGUCCUAGUGAGCUCACGCCUAGAUGAGGGACGCUCUGGUGAACACACAAUUUAACCUUCAGUAGAAUCCAAGCAGGUAAAUAUCAGGUUUUAGAAGAAGAGAAAGACCACGUUUGGCAAAGAGGCACAUGAUGGCUUUGAAGAUCUGGGAAACGUGGAGCUAGAGGUGAGUGAGGCCUGUGCUGGGAUGAGAAAUAGGGGUUCAGCCAAGGGGGCUCAUGAGAUGCAGCCAGAGGGAUGGCGCCGUGGUGCACACACACGAGGAUCCCCUGCCACGGUGGACACACAUGGGGACCCCCUGCCACAGUGGACAUGCACGAGGAUCCCCUGCCACAGUGGACACACACGGGGACCCCCUGCCACAGCCCAUACACAGAAGAGCCGCCUGCCGUGGUGCACUCACACAGGAAUGGGAUGCGAGUCAGGCAGUGAUGAGUGAUGGUCCCCCACGCCAGGCAGACAAGCUGAGGUGGAGCUAGGUGGCAAGAAGGAUGGUGAGGGGCUCCCGUGUGUGUGCACUGUGGCAGGGGUUCCCAUGUGUGCGCCGUGGCAGGCGAUCCCCAUGUGUGUGCGCUGUGGCAGAGGGUCCCUGCGUGUGUGCACCGUGGCAGGGGCUUCCUGCGUGUGUGCAUUGUGGCAGGGGGUCCCCAUGUGCGUGCCCCGUGGCAGGGGGUCCCUGCGUGUGUGCGCUGUGGCAGGGGGUCCCCGUGUGUGUGCCG